GCCUUAUCAGGAGAGGUGGAGGGAUACGGCCCGAUGAAGCCCGGCAGCCUGCGUUCACCGCGCAAGGUGCCAAUUCCGGCGGAGCGAUCUGCGAGAUAAGGA
RNAcentral lists this non-coding RNA (102 nucleotides) under Solirubrobacterales bacterium. Its description in RNAcentral is "SAM-I sequence". It matches the Rfam family "SAM riboswitch aptamer (S box leader)". Rfam says of the family: The SAM riboswitch is found upstream of a number of genes which code for proteins involved in methionine or cysteine biosynthesis in Gram-positive bacteria. The SAM riboswitch acts at the level of transcription termination control. The predicted structure consists of a complex stem-loop region followed by a single stem loop terminator region. The record is from RNAcentral. Lineage: Bacteria; Bacillati; Actinomycetota; Thermoleophilia; Solirubrobacterales.